GAUGAACGCUGGCGGCGUGCCUAAUACAUGCAAGUCGAGCGAACAGACGAGGAGCUUGCUCCUCUGACGUUAGCGGCGGACGGGUGAGUAACACGUGGAUAACCUACCUAUAAGACUGGGAUAACUUCGGGAAACCGGAGCUAAUACCGGAUAAUAUAUUGAACCGCAUGGUUCAAUAGUGAAAGACGGUUUUGCUGUCACUUCUCGAUGUAUCCGCGCCGCAUUAGCCAGUUGGUAAGGUAACGGCUUACCAAGGCAACGAUGCGUAGCCGACCUGAGAGGGUGAACGGCCACACUGGAACUGAACCACGGUCCAGACUCCUACGGGAGGCAACAGUAGGGAAUCUUCCGCAAUGGGCGGAAGCCUGACGGAGAAACGCCGCGUGAGUGAUGAAAGUCUUCGGAUCGUAAAACUCUGUUAUUAGGGAAGAACAAAUGUGUAAGUAACUAUGCACGUCUUGACGGUACCUAAUCAGAAAGCCACGGCUAACUACGUG
This 497-nucleotide ribosomal RNA is filed under the name uncultured bacterium. RNAcentral's name for it is "partial 16S ribosomal RNA". It matches the Rfam family "Bacterial small subunit ribosomal RNA", at positions 28 to 507 of the family's 1533-position model. The record is from RNAcentral.